AGCUCAAAUUUGAAAUCUGGCCCCCAGGGCCCGAGUUGUAAUUUGCAGAGGAUGCUUUUGGCGCGGUGCCUUCCGAGUUCCCUGGAACGGGACGCCAUAGAGGGUGAGAGCCCCGUCUGGUCGGACGCCUAGCCUGUGUAAAGCUCCUUCGACGAGUCGAGUAGUUUGGGAAUGCUGCUCUAAAUGGGAGGUAUAUGUCUUCUAAAGCUAAAUACCGGCCAGAGACCGAUAGCGCACAAGUAGAGUGAUCGAAAGAUGAAAAGCACUUUGAAAAGAGGGUUAAAUAGUACGUGAAAUUGUUGAAAGGGAAGCGCUUGUGACCAGACUUGGGCCCGGUGGAUCAUCCAGCGUUCUCGCUGGUGCACUCCGCCGGGUUCAGGCCAGCAUCAGUUCGCCGCGGGGGAAAAAGGCUUCGGGAACGUGGCUCCUACGGGAGUGUUAUAGCCCGUUGCAUAAUACCCUGGGGCGGACUGAGGUUCGCGCUCCGCAAGGAUGCUGGCGUAAUGGUCAUCAGCGACCCGUCUUGAAACACGGACCAAGGAGUCGUCUUCGUAUGCGAGUGUUCGGGUGUAAAACCCCUACGCGUAAUGAAAGUGAACGCAGGUGAGAGCUUCGGCGCAUCAUCGACCGAUCCUGAUGUUCUCGGAUGGAUUUGAGUAAGAGCAUACGGGGCCGGACCCGAAAGAAGGUGAACUAUGCCUGUAUAGGGUGAAGCCAGAGGAAACUCUGGUGGAGGCUCGCAGCGGUUCUGACGUGC
Molecule: ribosomal RNA, 757 nt
Filed under: Purpureocillium lavendulum
Lineage: Eukaryota; Fungi; Ascomycota; Sordariomycetes; Hypocreales; Ophiocordycipitaceae
Description: partial large subunit ribosomal RNA
Rfam family: Eukaryotic large subunit ribosomal RNA
Source: RNAcentral